AGUGAACGCUGGCGGUAGGCCUAACACAUGCAAGUCGAACGGCAGCACAGUAAGAGCUUGCUCUUACGGGUGGCGAGUGGCGGACGGGUGAGGAAUACAUCGGAAUCUACUUUUUCGUGGGGGAUAACGUAGGGAAACUUACGCUAAUACCGCAUACGACCUACGGGUGAAAGCAGGGGAUCUUCGGACCUUGCGCGAUUGAAUGAGCCGAUGUCGGAUUAGCUAGUUGGCGGGGUAAAGGCCCACCAAGGCGACGAUCCGUAGCUGGUCUGAGAGGAUGAUCAGCCACACUGGAACUGAGACACGGUCCAGACUCCUACGGGAGGCAGCAGUGGGGAAUAUUGGACAAUGGGCGCAAGCCUGAUCCAGCCAUACCGCGUGGGUGAAGAAGGCCUUCGGGUCGUAAAGCCCUUUGUUGGGAAAGAAAAGCAGCAGGUUAAUACCCCGCUGUUCUGACGGUACCCAAAGAAUAAGCACCGGCUAACUUCGUG
Molecule: ribosomal RNA, 491 nt
Filed under: uncultured bacterium
Lineage: Bacteria
Description: partial 16S ribosomal RNA
Rfam family: Bacterial small subunit ribosomal RNA
Source: RNAcentral